AUACGGAGGGUGCAAGCGUUAUCCGGAAUCAUUGGGUUUAAAGGGUCCGUAGGCGGGAAUCUAAGUCAGUGGUGAAAUCUUGCAGCUCAACUGUAAAAUUGCCAUUGAUACUGGAUUUCUUGAAUUAGUGUGAAGUGGUUAGAAUGUGUAGUGUAGCGGUGAAAUGCAUAGAUAUUACACAGAAUACCAAUUGCGAAGGCAGAUCACUAACACUAUAUUGACGCUAAGGGACGAAAGCGUGGGGAGCGAACAGGAUUAGAUACCCCAGUAGUCC
This 274-nucleotide ribosomal RNA is filed under the name uncultured bacterium. RNAcentral's name for it is "partial 16S ribosomal RNA". It matches the Rfam family "Bacterial small subunit ribosomal RNA", at positions 523 to 796 of the family's 1533-position model. The record is from RNAcentral.